Long non-coding RNA from Octopus sinensis (East Asian common octopus), 94 nucleotides. RefSeq lists it as uncharacterized. The record is from RefSeq and is a predicted model, not a curated record. Lineage: Eukaryota; Metazoa; Mollusca; Cephalopoda; Octopoda; Octopodidae. The transcript has 3 exons.
GUUUUCGAUGUCUGGGCAAGGUGACGCGUUGUGUACUCCAGCGAGACACUUAAUUUCACGUUGCUCCCGUCUACUCAGCUGGCAAAAAUGAGUA